UACGUAGGGGGCAAGCGUUGUCCGGAAUCAUUGGGCGUAAAGCGCGUGUAGGCGGUUCGGUAAGUCUGCUGUGAAAGUCCAGGGCUCAACCCUGGGAUGCCGGUGGAUACUGUCGGACUAGAGUACGGAAGAGGCGAGUGGAAUUCCCGAUGUAGCGGUGAAAUGCGCAGAUAUCGGGAGGAACACCAAUUGCGAAGGCAGCUCGCUGGGACGUUACUGACGCUGAGACGCGAAAGCGUGGGGAGCAAACAGG
Molecule: ribosomal RNA, 253 nt
Filed under: uncultured bacterium
Lineage: Bacteria
Description: partial 16S ribosomal RNA
Rfam family: Bacterial small subunit ribosomal RNA
Source: RNAcentral